This 119-nucleotide ribosomal RNA is filed under the name Pteropus alecto (black flying fox). The record is from RNAcentral. Lineage: Eukaryota; Metazoa; Chordata; Mammalia; Chiroptera; Pteropodidae.
GACUACGGCCAUGCCACCCUGAACAUACCCAGUCCCGUCUGAUCUUGGAAGCUAAGCAGGAUCGGGCCUGGUUAGUACUUGGAUGGGAGACCACCUAGGAAGACCAGGUGCUUUAGGCA